GACGGGGGCCCGCACAAGCGGAGGAACAUGUGGUUUAAUUCGAUGAUACGCGAGGAACCUUACCCGGGCUUGAACUGCAGCAGAACGAUUGAGAGAUCAUGAGGCCCUUCGGGGCUGCUGUGGAGGUGCUGCAUGGUUGUCGUCAGCUCGUGCCGUGAGGUGUCGGCUUAAGUGCCAUAACGAGCGCAACCCCUUUCGCCAGUUGCCAUCAGGUGAUGCUGGGCACUCCGGCGACACUGCCACCGUAAGGUGUGAGGAAGGUGGGGAUGACGUCAAAUCAGCACGGCCCUUACGUCCGGGGCUACACACGUGUUACAAUGGGUGGUACAGAGAGUCAGCGGCCGGCAACGUCCGCUCAAUCAUGAAAGCCAUCCUCAGUUCGGAUUGGGGUCUGCAACCCGACCCCAUGAAGCUGGAUUCGCUAGUAAUCGCGCAUCAGCCAUGGCGCGGUGAAUACGUUCCCGGGCCUUGUACACACCGCCCGUCAAGCCAUGAAAGCCGGGGGCGCCUGAAGUCCGUGACCGCGAGGGUCGGCCUAGGGUGAAACCGGUGAUUGGGGCUAAGUCGUAACAAGGUAGCCGUACCGGAA
Molecule: ribosomal RNA, 589 nt
Filed under: uncultured bacterium
Lineage: Bacteria
Description: bacterial SSU rRNA
Rfam family: Bacterial small subunit ribosomal RNA
Source: RNAcentral